RNAcentral lists this ribosomal RNA (368 nucleotides) under uncultured organism. RNAcentral's name for it is "bacterial SSU rRNA". It matches the Rfam family "Bacterial small subunit ribosomal RNA", at positions 526 to 896 of the family's 1533-position model. The record is from RNAcentral.
CGAAGGUGGCAAGCGUUGUUCGGAUUCACUGGGCGUACAGGGAGCGUAGGCGGUUGGGUAAGCCCUCCGUGAAAUCUCCGGGCCUAACCCGGAAAGUGCAGAGGGGACUGCUCGGCUUGAGGACGGGAGAGGAGCGCGGAAUUCCCGGUGUAGCGGUGAAAUGCGUAGAGAUCGGGAGGAAGGCCGGUGGCGAAGACGGCGCUCUGGAACGUUUCUGACGCUGAGGCUCGAAAGCGUGGAGAGCAAACAGGAUUAGAUACCCUGGUAGUCCACGCCUUAAGCUAUGGAUACUAAGUGUCGACGGGUUACCGCCAGUGCCGCAGCUAACGCAGUAAGUAUCCCGCCUGGGAAGUACGGCCGCAAGGUUG